GAACUGCGAUAAGUAAUGUGAAUUGCAGAAUUCAGUGAAUCAUCGAGUCUUUGAACGCACAUUGCGCCCCCUGGCAUUCCGGGGGGCAUGCCUGUCCGAGCGUCAUUGCUGCCCUUCAAGCCCGGCUUGUGUGUCGGGUCGUCGUCCCCUCCGGGGGACGGGCCCGAAAGGCAGCGGCGGCACCGCGUCCGGUCCUCGAGCGUAUGGGGCUUUGUCACCCGCUCGAUAAGGACCGGCCGGGCGCCAGCCGGCGUCUCCAACCUUUUUUUCUCAGGUUGACCUCGGAUCAGGUAGGGAUACCCGCUGAACUUAAGC
Molecule: unclassified non-coding RNA, 315 nt
Filed under: plant metagenome
Description: partial contains 5.8S ribosomal RNA, internal transcribed spacer 2, and large subunit ribosomal RNA
Rfam family: 5.8S ribosomal RNA (bases 1-105)
Source: RNAcentral